RNAcentral lists this ribosomal RNA (1055 nucleotides) under uncultured bacterium. RNAcentral describes it as "bacterial SSU rRNA". It matches the Rfam family "Bacterial small subunit ribosomal RNA", at positions 336 to 1393 of the family's 1533-position model. The record is from RNAcentral.
CUCCUACGGGAGGCAGCAGUGAGGAAUAUUGGUCAAUGGGCGAGAGCCGUGAACCAGCCAAGUAGCGUGAAGGAUGACUGCCCUAUGGGUUGUAAACUUCUUUUAUAAAGGAAUAAAGUCGGGUAUGUAUACCCGUUUGCAUGUACUUUAUGAAUAAGGAUCGGCUAACUCCGUGCCAGCAGCCGCGGUAAUACGGAGGAUCCGAGCGUUAUCCGGAUUUAUUGGGUUUAAAGGGAGCGUAGAUGGAUGUUUAAGUCAGUUGUGAAAGUUUGCGGCUCAACCGUAAAAUUGCAGUUGAUACUGGAUAUCUUGAGUGCAGUUGAGGCAGGCGGAAUUCGUGGUGUAGCGGUGAAAUGCUUAGAUAUCACGAAGAACUCCGAUUGCGAAGGCAGCCUGCUAAGCUGCAACUGACAUUGAGGCUCGAAAGUGUGGGUAUCAAACAGGAUUAGAUACCCUGGUAGUCCACACGGUAAACGAUGAAUACUCGCUGUUUGCGAUAUACGGCAAGCGGCCAAGCGAAAGCGUUAAGUAUUCCACCUGGGGAGUACGCCGGCAACGGUGAAACUCAAAGGAAUUGACGGGGGCCCGCACAAGCGGAGGAACAUGUGGUUUAAUUCGAUGAUACGCGAGGAACCUUACCCGGGCUUAAAUUGCAGAUGAAUUACGGUGAAAGCCGUAAGCCGCAAGGCAUCUGUGAAGGUGCUGCAUGGUUGUCGUCAGCUCGUGCCGUGAGGUGUCGGCUUAAGUGCCAUAACGAGCGCAACCCUUGUUGUCAGUUACUAACAGGUUCCGCUGAGGACUCUGACAAGACUGCCAUCGUAAGAUGUGAGGAAGGUGGGGAUGACGUCAAAUCAGCACGGCCCUUACGUCCGGGGCUACACACGUGUUACAAUGGGGGGUACAGAGGGCCGCUACCACGCGAGUGGAUGCCAAUCCCAAAAACCUCUCUCAGUUCGGACUGGAGUCUGCAACCCGACUCCACGAAGCUGGAUUCGCUAGUAAUCGCGCAUCAGCCACGGCGCGGUGAAUACGUUCCCGGGCCUUGUACACACCGC